UGAUUCCCAGAGACCAGACGUCCACCUUCCCGUCGUACUGGCCCUCGUCCAUGGCUAGGAUCACCUCUGGAGCCAUCCUGGGACAUGGAGGUCAGACAAGUAAGGUCGGAGCCACUGCUGUCACACUGGUGUGAUGUUAAAACCCACCAGUAGGGGGUCCCCACAAAUGAGUUGGCCGGAGCCACGAUGGAGGCAGAACCAAAAUCGCCAAGUUUGACCUGGCCGGGUUCCGUCAACAGAAUGUUUCCUGCUUUCACGUCCCUGUGGGAGAAAGAGCAGUUGAAGAGGAGGUAGUUCACACUCAGACAGACCGACGCAACAGGAAACUCAAGCCACCGCGCCAGGAAACCAUCAAGUGUUCGAGAAA
Molecule: long non-coding RNA, 367 nt
Organism: Cynoglossus semilaevis (tongue sole)
Lineage: Eukaryota; Metazoa; Chordata; Actinopteri; Pleuronectiformes; Cynoglossidae
Exons: 2
Source: RefSeq, a predicted model, not a curated record